UUUCCGUAGGUGAACCUGCGGAAGGAUCAUUAUUGCAUAACAGAGGUGCGAGGGCUGUCGCUGACCCGAAAGGUCGUGCACGCCCGAGUGCCCUCACACACAUCCAUCUCACCCCUAUGUGCACCACCGCGUGGGUCCCCCUUUGGCUUGUUCGGAGGGGGGCUUACGUUUUCACACAAACUUUGUAUGCAGUGUAGAAUGUAUUUUUUGUUUUUGCGAUCACGCAAUCAAUACAACUUUCAACAACGGAUCUCUUGGCUCUC
RNAcentral lists this unclassified non-coding RNA (263 nucleotides) under plant metagenome. RNAcentral describes it as "partial contains small subunit ribosomal RNA, internal transcribed spacer 1, and 5.8S ribosomal RNA". The record is from RNAcentral.